Molecule: ribosomal RNA, 440 nt
Filed under: uncultured bacterium
Lineage: Bacteria
Description: partial 16S ribosomal RNA
Rfam family: Bacterial small subunit ribosomal RNA
Source: RNAcentral
CCUACGGGUGACUGCAGUGGGGAAUAUUGCACAAUGGGGGAAACCCUGAUGCAGCGACGCCGCGUGCGUGCAGAAGUAAUUCGUUAUGUAAAGCUCUAUCAGCAGGGACGAAAAUGACGGUACCUGAUCAAGAAUCCCCGGCUAACUACGUUCCAGCAGCCGCGGUAAUACGUAGGGGUCAAGCGUUAUCCGGAUUUACUGGGUGUAAUGGGAGCGUAGACGGCAGUUCAAGUCUGGAGUGAAAGGCCGGGGCUCAACCCCAGGACUUCUCUGGAAACUGUACGGCUGGAGUGCAGGAGAGGUAAGUGGAAUUCCGAGUGUAGCGGUGAAAUGCGUAGAUAUUAGGAGGAACACCAGUGGCGAAGGCGGCUUACUGGACUGUAACUGACGUUGAGGCUCGAAAGCGUGGGGAGCAAACAGGAUUAGAUACCCUAGUAGUC